UACGGGGGGGGCAAGCGUUGUUCGGAAUUACUGGGCGUAAAGGGCUCGUAGGCGGCCAACUAAGUCAGACGUGAAAUCCCUCGGCUUAACCGGGGAACUGCAUCUGAUACUGGAUGGCUUGAGUUCGGGAGAGGGAUGCGGAAUUCCAGGUGUAGCGGUGAAAUGCGUAGAUAUCUGGAGGAACACCGGUGGCGAAGGCGGCAUCCUGGACCGGCAUUGACGCUGAGGCGCGAAAGCCAGGGGAGCGAACGGG
Molecule: ribosomal RNA, 253 nt
Filed under: uncultured bacterium
Lineage: Bacteria
Description: partial 16S ribosomal RNA
Rfam family: Bacterial small subunit ribosomal RNA
Source: RNAcentral